RNAcentral lists this ribosomal RNA (500 nucleotides) under uncultured bacterium. RNAcentral's name for it is "partial 16S ribosomal RNA". It matches the Rfam family "Bacterial small subunit ribosomal RNA", at positions 30 to 523 of the family's 1533-position model. The record is from RNAcentral.
AUUGAACGCUGGCGGCAUGCCUUACACAUGCAAGUCGAACGGCAGCACGGGAGCAAUCCUGGUGGCGAGUGGCGAACGGGUGAGUAAUGUAUCGGAACGUGCCCAGUCGUGGGGGAUAACGUAGCGAAAGCUACGCUAAUACCGCAUACGAUCUAUGGAUGAAAGCGGGGGAUCGCAAGACCUCGCGCGAUUGGAGCGGCCGAUAUCAGAUUAGGUAGUUGGUGGGGUAAAGGCUCACCAAGCCGACGAUCUGUAGCUGGUCUGAGAGGACGACCAGCCACACUGGGACUGAGACACGGCCCAGACUCCUACGGGAGGCAGCAGUGGGGAAUUUUGGACAAUGGGCGCAAGCCUGAUCCAGCAAUGCUGCGUGCAGGAUGAAGGCCUUCGGGUUGUAAACUGCUUUUGUACGGAACGAAACGGUGAGCUCUAAUACAGUUUGCUAAUGACGGUACCGUAAGAAUAAGCACCGGCUAACUACGUGCCAGCAGCCGCCGUAA